This is a long non-coding RNA of Osmerus eperlanus (European smelt), 101 nucleotides long. RefSeq lists it as uncharacterized. The record is from RefSeq and is a predicted model, not a curated record. The transcript has 3 exons. NCBI's taxonomy places the organism in Eukaryota, Metazoa, Chordata, Actinopteri, Osmeriformes, Osmeridae.
UGUGGUAAGAGGCUGAAGGUGUGUGUGUGUGUGUGUGUGUGAGAAGUAAGAGGCUGAAGGUGGUGUGUGUGUGUGUGUGUGUGUUAAGAGGCUGAAGGUGG